AGGACGAACGCUGGCGGUGUGCUUCACACAUGCAAGUCGAACGAGGUAGCAAUACCUAGUGGCGGACGGGUGAGUAACGCGUGGGAAUCUGCCUUUGAAUGGGGGAUAACGGGCCGAAAGGUCCGCUAAUACCGCAUAGGCCGCAAGGUUAAAGGAGUAAUCCGUUCAAAGAUGAGCCCGCGUCCGAUUAGCUAGUUGGUAGGGUAAAAGCCUACCAAGGCGACGAUCGGUAGCUGGUCUGAGAGGAUGAUCAGCCACAAUGGGACUGAGACACGGCCCAUACUCCUACGGGAGGCAGCAGUGGGGAAUUUUACGCAAUGGGCGAAAGCCUGACGUAGCGACACCGCGUGAGCGAAGAAGCCCUUUGGGGUGUAAAGCUCUGUCAGCUGGAACGAAAAAAUGACGGUACCAGCAGAGGAAGCAUCGGCUAACUACGUGCCAGCAGCCGC
RNAcentral lists this ribosomal RNA (449 nucleotides) under uncultured bacterium. Its description in RNAcentral is "SSU rRNA". It matches the Rfam family "Bacterial small subunit ribosomal RNA", at positions 26 to 518 of the family's 1533-position model. The record is from RNAcentral.